UACGUAGGGUGCAAGCGUUGUCCGGAAUUAUUGGGCGUAAAGAGCUCGUAGGCGGUUUGUCGCGUCUGCUGUGAAAACGCGAGGCUCAACCUCGCGCCUGCAGUGGGUACGGGCAGACUAGAGUGUGGUAGGGAGAUUGGAAUUCCUGUGUAGCGGUGGAAUGCGCAGAUAUCAGGAGGAACACCGAUGGCGAAGGCAGAUCUCUGGCCAUUACUGACGCUGAGGAGCGAAGCGUGGGGGGGCGAACAGG
This 250-nucleotide ribosomal RNA is filed under the name uncultured bacterium. RNAcentral describes it as "partial 16S ribosomal RNA". It matches the Rfam family "Bacterial small subunit ribosomal RNA", at positions 524 to 776 of the family's 1533-position model. The record is from RNAcentral.